UACCCCAGCAUAUGGGUCGAUGCAUAAAAGUUAAGUGCCGAUAACAUCCCUAUCGGCUGGGUCAAAAUGUGUCUGGGGUCAGACUUAGUGUUUUAAAAGGGUGCCGAUAACAAUCCUAUCGGCUAGGCCAAGUAUCAGGAAGGUCGGGAAAUAGAAAAAGGCGAACGUGUUGCCGAUGAAGAGCUCACAAGUCUAGCAGCGCCUGGAUGGCCGAUAUGGCGCGUAGGCGGAUUUGGUUAGCUGCUUCUAUCUCUUUGGUGUCUUCAUCGGCAGAGCCUUCCACUGGCUUCAAUUUCUUCUUCAGCUGCAAUGCUUUGCGGCCAUGGACGUUUCGCUCUUGCUCAAGAAGCUUGAUUGUCUCCGGUAGUUGGCUUUCUUCUUGUUGGGCUUGGGACAGAGCAUCCUCUACUUGCUUGAGUUCUGCCAGCAGAGUUUCUCUUCUUGCCGAUAAAUCAGAAAUCUUUUGCUUCAGUGCAUCUCCCGAGGACUUCAAGGUGCCGAUGUUCCUGUGCUUUUCAUCGGUAAGAAGCUUUUCCUUCAGCAUCUCCUCAGAAAGCUAAGUCUGAGCGGCUCUAUCGGCAAGACGCUGGGCAGCCCUCUGGUACUGCAGUUGACGGCUCUCCAGAUGUGCUGCUUGAAAGAGGAUUUCUUCGGCAUCGG
This 660-nucleotide long non-coding RNA is filed under the name Sorghum bicolor (sorghum). Its description in RNAcentral is "long non-coding RNA (SBIC_LNC015812)". The record is from RNAcentral. Lineage: Eukaryota; Viridiplantae; Streptophyta; Magnoliopsida; Poales; Poaceae.